RNAcentral lists this long non-coding RNA (1468 nucleotides) under Mus caroli (Ryukyu mouse). RNAcentral describes it as "lncRNA (MGP_CAROLIEiJ_G0004861.1)". Lineage: Eukaryota; Metazoa; Chordata; Mammalia; Rodentia; Muridae. The record is from RNAcentral.
GUGGCUGUGACUGCCCGCCCCCACAACGCCCUUCUCUGUCUCCGUUUUCUUCCCAGUGCUCUGAACUUUUGGGCAAAUGUGUCAAGUGUGAACACAGACAAAGCUUCACUUCAAAGCUCGUGUUCAGGGCCCUUAAAGUCAUAGUUAUUGCAAAACUGCGACCGUCUGGCGAACCUGCCUUAUGUAAGGGUGCUUGAACGUAUGAUUCACCAAACAUUUCUGCCGACAUCGCAAAGUUGUUGGAGCCAGAGUAGGAGAAAGACCACCCGUUUGAGAUCAUGGCUUGACAGGGAACACUCCCUCCUGCCACCAGAAUGGGUCCAAUCUAGACAUGUCUUCUCUGGCUUCCUUGUGCCUUGCCUUAUUUGGAGGGUUGGAAUAGUGGUCUGUCUUCGUGCGUGGUGAGAUAAUCAACACCAACAUCGAAGGAAGGAAGAUCUUUGCCACAGAGGAUCCUAGUUCCAGCUCCCAGAAUGACACUUUAACAGGAAAUCAUCUGAUUUUCUUUUUCUGGCAGUGAGACUAAUGGAAGUUUUCAUGUGAGUGUACAAAGAGAUGAUCUUGGAGUCUGGGAUACAGUCCAGGGAAGCAGCACGUCUGCCUGCACAUUAUGAUGCUUCCCACCAUGAUGACAAUGGACUAAAACCUCUGAAACUGUCCGGCUUGUUUGAUGUGGGAGCUAAGGCAGUCUAGACUGGUCUAACACAAAGCGAACACCCCAAGGGGGCCUGGACUAGAGAGGCUACCUGAACUGUGGCAUGCUUAAAGCAGUACCACAGAGAUGGGAGGCACCCAAGAGUCUUAGCCCCAUCAGGUGCUGCAAGAAACCUCUUCACUGAGCAGUUUAUAAACAAGUGUACUCCUCAGAGUCCGGAGGAAGGAGGUCUAAGAUGUAUCGGCCCCAACACCUCCUAGCUUGUGGAUUGAGCUCCUGUGGAGGAAGCUAACACAGCGGUAAAUAAAUGUGGACUGACAGAGGGCACAGGGCCAUUCGAGAGACUGUCAGAAACUGAGAAUCACCUCAGAACACGCUGAGGAGAGCUAAGGAGGUGAGGCCUGGGUUGCGGGAGGUUGGCACCUGACAGCAGUGGUUCCGACUGCUGGAAGGAGUGUUCUCUUCUGGGUUUGAUUGUCUACACUCAGGCUUCAGAGCCCUGGGCAUGAGAAAAAAAAGGGAGAAUGAAUAUGUUAGUAUUCCACGAAGGCACAGAAGCAGGUAUGUGGGAAUGGCUGUCGUUCCAUCUUCUGGGUAGUCGUGGCUGUCAGGUGGGAGGCCCAGGGAGAGCCAGUGUCCCGUCAGUCAAAACCAUGAUGGUGUGGCUUACAUUCUAUCUCAGAUAAAUUCUUUUUUGUUUGGGAGAGAAGCAUUCUCUAUUUCAGCUUCAGUUAAAUGGAUUACGAGGACCCACAUCAUAGAGGGAAGUCUGUCUUACUGAUUCUGAUUUUUUUCAAUUAAAAUGUUUUCUUU